AUCGAGUUUUUGAACGCAAGUUGCGCCCGAAGCCUCGGCUUAGGGCACGCCUGCCUGGGCGUCACGCAUCGUCGCCACCCCCACCGCAAUGCGCGUCGUGGGGUGACGGAAGUUGGCCUCCCGUGUCUCCUUGCAGCGCGGCCGGCCUAAAUCAGAGUCCUCCGUUCGGAGCGUCACGACUAGUGGUGGUUGAAACUUCUUCCCGAUCGAAGUCGUGGCCCUUGCCGAAACGGGGCUGGCUCAAAGACCCUGGAGCCUCCGAGCCCUCGACCAUGACCCCAGGUCAGACGG
This 291-nucleotide ribosomal RNA is filed under the name Oldenlandiopsis callitrichoides. RNAcentral describes it as "partial contains 5.8S ribosomal RNA, internal transcribed spacer 2, and 26S ribosomal RNA". The stretch from base 1 to 64 matches the Rfam family "5.8S ribosomal RNA", at positions 91 to 154 of the family's 154-position model. Lineage: Eukaryota; Viridiplantae; Streptophyta; Magnoliopsida; Gentianales; Rubiaceae. The record is from RNAcentral.